Molecule: long non-coding RNA, 5588 nt
Filed under: Brassica napus (rape)
Lineage: Eukaryota; Viridiplantae; Streptophyta; Magnoliopsida; Brassicales; Brassicaceae
Description: long non-coding RNA (BNAP_LNC017272)
Source: RNAcentral
CUCCAAAAUCUCUUUCUCUCUUCCUCUUCCAUUUCCACAACAAAGACACAAUCUCUCUCUCUCUCUCUUUGUGUAAUAAUAAUAAUAAUAAUCCUCCCCAGAAAACCAUUUCCCUGAUAUUUCUUUCUUUCUUUCCUCCUAAAUCUUUUUUCUCUUUCACCACUGAUAGUUAUCCCUCAUCGAUUUUUUAGCUCUCAAAAUAAGAAAAACUAGAGAGAGAGAACCAAACCAGAGCAAUCUCAUAGGACGAGAAGAUACCUUCUGACAGGUCCGUGUUUGGUUUCCUUCUUCUUCUUCUUCUUCUUGUAUGGUUGGUUCUUCAGAUGAUAUGAGAUCUUGUAGUAAAAUUUUGACGAAUUCUUUGUACUUGCAUUUUCUCUCAAGCAAAGAUCUGUUCUUUAUCACUGUGUUCAAUUCAAAUAACCACAAUCUUGUCUUUUCUUAUAUCUGAUUGAGAUUGUUUUCUUCUUCUUGAUUGUGUUGUAUCUACAGGAAGGAGCCAAUAUCAGUUUUAACCAGCCCUUGUAUAAGAGUGAUUCCCUUUUUUUCAUAGAAAGAACUCUCGAUUUACUGUAUUAGAGUAGAUCAAGAACCAUUCUCUCUAGAUGACAUCGCCUACUUCAUCUGAGAGGUGGACCGAUGGUCUUCAGUUCUCUUCCUUGUUAUGGUCUCCCCCACGAGAUCCUCAACAACAUAAGGUACUUAACAAUAAUAAAUAAAGCCUCAGAUGUCUCAUCCAUGAACCGGUGCUGAUUGUCUUUCUCCUUAGGAUCAAGUCGUUGCUUAUGUCGAAUACUUUGGUCAGUUCACAUCAGAGCAAUUCCCUGAUGAUAUUGCUGAGGUACUUGUUCGUGUUCUUAUGUUGCCUUAUGAGUAGUAGUGGUGAUAUACUGAUUUUACAAAUAUUUGUGUAUCAGUUGGUCCGUAAUCAGUAUCCGUCAACUGAGAAGCGCCUUUUGGAUGAUGUGUUGGGUAUGUGUGAGCUUCUCUAUCAAACACUUUAUGAUCCACGCUUCUUUGUUUUGAAUGUUCAUAUCUGAUUCUCUGGCUUGUUGUUGAAAACAACAGCUAUGUUUGUCCUCCAUCAUCCUGAGCAUGGUCAUGCGGUCAUCCUUCCGAUUAUCUCAUGUCUCAUCGAUGGCACCCUAGUGUACAGCAAGGAAGCUCAUCCCUUCGCCUCUUUCAUUUCUUUAGUUUCCCCAACCAGUGAGGUAAAUAAGUUUCUCAACACUGUCUUUCAUGGAAACUCUUUUUUUUUUUUUAAUGCUGACGUACAUGCGUGUUCACAAUCCUUUACAGAAUGACUAUUCAGAGCAAUGGGCUUUGGCGUGCGGAGAAAUCCUCCGCAUUUUGACUCAUUACAACCGUCCCAUAUACAAGACGGAGCAGCAAAAUGGAGAAACGGAGAGCAAAGCUUCAACUAGUGGGUCUCCUACGCUUUCAGAGACUAAGGCUGUAUCGCCAGGACAGCAUGAAAGGAAACCGCUAAGGCCUUUGUCUCCAUGGAUCAGUGAUAUACUACUCGCUGCUCCCCUUGGUAUCAGAAGUGACUACUUUCGUUGGUAAGUAGAUUCUGUUACUUUGAUUUGUACUGUGCUUAAGCUUCAACUAAUAGUAAUUGUUUGUUUAUAUCUACAGGUGUAGUGGUGUUAUGGGUAAAUACGCUGCUGGAGAGCUCAAGCCACCUACCAUUGGUGAGUUUCCAUCACCUGUGACUAUUAGAAUGGGGUUUUGAGUUGCGUCUUAUAAUUACUUUCCUACUUUUUGCAGCUACUCGAGGAUCUGGUAAACAUCCUCAAUAUAUGCCUUCCACGCCAAGAUGGGCGGUUGCUAAUGGAGCUGGUGUCAUACUGAGUGUUUGUGAUGACGAAGUUGCUCGGUAUGAGACUGCUACGUUAACAGCCGUUGCUGUCCCUGCACUUCUCCUUCCUCCCCCAACGACAUCCUUAGAUGAGCAUUUAGUUGCUGGCCUUCCAGCUCUUGAGCCAUAUGCUCGUUUGUUUCACAGGUAGUGUUUCUGAACACAUCCUUGUGCUUCCUGGAGUCAUAUUUUGUUCUCACUCUCUUGUUCAACUGUCAGAUAUUAUGCGAUUGCAACUCCAAGUGCUACUCAGAGACUUCUUCUUGGACUCUUGGAAGCACCUCCGUCUUGGGCUCCAGAUGCACUUGAUGCUGCUGUACAGCUUGUGGAGCUCCUUCGAGCUGCUGAAGAUUAUGCAUCUGGUGUAAGGGUAAGCGUAAUAAGAAUCCUUUAAUCACUCUCAAGAAAGAUGAUUGUGUCCCUUCUUCUCCACUUUGAAACUUCAUCAUCAGCUUUGAUAUGUCAUUAAAAAGGAUCAACUCUGAUCACACACUCUCUUUUUCUUUGAUGUAGCUACCAAGGAACUGGAUGCAUUUGCACUUCUUGCGUGCAAUAGGAAUCGCCAUGUCUAUGAGAGCAGGCGUUGCUGCUGACGCUGCAGCCGCUUUGCUUUUCCGCAUACUCUCGCAGCCAGCACUGCUUUUUCCUCCGCUAAGCCAAGCUGAGGGAGUAGAAAUCAAACACGCCCCUAUUGGUGGCUACGGUUCAAAUUACAGAAAGCAGAUAGAAGUUCCUGCAGCAGAAGCAACCAUUGAAGCCACUGCUCAAGGAAUAGCCUCAAUGCUUUGCGCUCACGGUCCUGAAGUGGAGUGGAGGAUCUGCACUAUAUGGGAAGCUGCCUAUGGAUUGAUCCCUUUAAACUCCUCAGCCGUUGAUCUCCCUGAGAUCAUUGUCGCCACCCCACUGCAACCUCCCAUCUUGUCAUGGAACCUAUACAUCCCACUCCUCAAAGUACUCGAGUAUCUUCCACGUGGGAGUCCUUCCGAAGCAUGCUUGAUGAAGAUAUUCGUCGCCACGGUGGAAACAAUCCUCAGCAGAACUUUCCCGCCAGAGACUUCUAUAAAGAAAGCUAGAGCGAGUUUAGCCACGAGAUCAUCAGCGACCAAAAACCUCGCUAUGGCUGAGCUUCGUGCUAUGGUCCAUGCUCUCUUCUUGGAAUCAUGCGCUGGCGUGGAGAUAGCUUCGCGCCUGCUUUUCGUUGUGUUGACUGUUUGUGUUAGCCAUGAAGCGCAGUCUAGUGGGAGCAAGAGACGGAGAAGCGAAGAAGAUGCUACUGCAGAGGAGAAUCAAGACAAUCAAACUAGUAACCGUAAGAGUAGGAACGUCAAGGGACAAGGACCUGUGGCGGCGUUUGAUUCGUACGUUCUCGCUGCUGUAAUAAAGCCUCAGAUGUUUCAUCCAUGAACCGGUGCUGAUUGUCUUUCUCCUUAGGAUCAAGUCGUUGCUUAUGUCGAAUACUUUGGUCAGUUCACAUCAGAGCAAUUCCCUGAUGAUAUUGCUGAGGUACUUGUUCGUGUGUUUAUGUUGCCUUAUGAUUAGUCGUGAUUAUAUAUAUAUACUGAUGUACAAAUAUUUAUGUAUCAGUUGGUCCGUAAUCAGUAUCCAUCAACUGAGAAGCGGCUUUUGGAUGAUGUGUUGGGUAUGUGUGUGAGCUUCUCUAUCAAACACUUUAUGAUCCACGCUUCUUUGUUUUGAAUGUUUAUAUCUGAUUCUCUGUCUUGUUCAUGAAAACAACAGCUAUGUUUGUCCUCCAUCAUCCGGAGCAUGGUCAUGCUGUCAUCCUUCCGAUUAUCUCAUGUCUCAUCGAUGGCACCCUAGUGUACAGCAAGGAAGCUCAUCCCUUCGCCUCUUUCAUUUCUUUAGUUUCCCCAAAUAGUGAGGUAAAUAGUUUCUCAACACUGUCUUUCAUGGAAACUCUUUUUGGUAUGCUGACAAACAUGUGUGUUCACAAUCCUCUACAGAAUGACUAUUCAGAGCAAUGGGCUUUGGCGUGCGGAGAAAUCCUACGCAUCUUGACUCAUUACAACCGUCCCAUUUACAAGACGGAGCAGCAAAAUGGAGAAACGGAGAGCAAAGCUUCUACUAGUGGGUCUCCUACGCUUUCAGAGGCUAAGGCUGUAUCACCAGGACAGCAUGAAAGGAAACCGCUAAGGCCUUUGUCUCCAUGGAUCAGUGAUAUACUACUCGCUGCUCCCCUUGGUAUUAGAAGUGACUACUUUCGUUGGUAAGUAGAUUCUGUUACUUUGAUUUGUACUGUGCUUAAGCUUCAACUUAUAAUAAUUGUUUGUUUGUAUAUACAGGUGUAGUGGUGUUAUGGGUAAAUAUGCUGCUGGAGAGCUCAAGCCACCUACUAUUGGUGAGUUUCCAUCACCUCUGGCUACUACAAUGGGUUGUGAGUUACGUCUUAUAACACUUCUCUUAUUUUGCAGCUACUCGAGGAUCUGGUAAACAUCCUCAAUAUAUGCCUUCCACGCCAAGAUGGGCGGUUGCUAAUGGAGCUGGUGUCAUACUGAGUGUUUGUGAUGAUGAAGUUGCUCGGUACGAGACUGCUACGUUAACAGCGGUUGCUGUCCCUGCACUUCUCCUUCCUCCCCCAACGACAUCCUUAGAUGAGCAUUUAGUUGCUGGCCUUCCAGCUCUUGAGCCUUAUGCACGUUUGUUUCACAGGUAGUGUUUCUGAACACAUCCUUGUGCUUCCUGGAGUCAUAUGUUGUUCUCACUCUCUUGUUCUACUGUCAGAUAUUAUGCGAUUGCAACUCCAAGUGCUACUCAGAGACUUCUUCUUGGACUCUUGGAAGCACCACCGUCUUGGGCUCCAGAUGCACUUGAUGCUGCUGUACAGCUUGUGGAGCUUCUCCGAGCUGCUGAGGAUUAUGCAUCUGGUGUAAGGGUAAGCAUUUGGCUCCUACGAAAUAACUUUUGAUAUGUUAUUAAAAAAGGAUCAGCUCUGAUCACACACUCUCUCUUUUCUUUGAUGUAGCUACCAAGGAACUGGAUGCAUUUGCACUUCUUGCGUGCAAUAGGAAUCGCCAUGUCUAUGAGGGCAGGCGUUGCUGCUGACGCUGCAGCCGCUUUGCUUUUCCGCAUACUCUCGCAGCCGGCACUGCUUUUUCCUCCGCUAAGCCAAGCUGAGGGAGUAGAAAUCAAACACGCUCCUAUUGGUGGCUACGGUUCAAAUUACAGAAAGCAGAUAGAAGUUCCUGCAGCAGAAGCAACCAUUGAAGCCACUGCACAAGGAAUAGCCUCAAUGCUUUGUGCUCACGGACCUGAAGUGGAGUGGAGGAUCUGCACUAUAUGGGAAGCUGCCUAUGGAUUGAUCCCUUUAAACUCCUCAGCCGUUGAUCUCCCUGAGAUCAUUGUCGCCACCCCACUGCAACCUCCCAUCUUGUCAUGGAACCUAUACAUCCCACUCCUCAAAGUACUCGAGUAUCUUCCACGUGGGAGUCCUUCCGAAGCAUGCUUGAUGAAGAUAUUCGUCGCCACGGUGGAAACAAUCCUCAGCAGAACUUUCCCGCCAGAGACUUCUAUAAAGAAAGCUAGAGCGAGUUUAGCCACGAGAUCAUCAGCGACCAAAAACCUCGCUAUGGCUGAGCUUCGUGCUAUGGUCCAUGCUCUCUUCUUGGAAUCAUGCGCUGGCGUGGAGAUAGCUUCGCGCCUGCUUUUCGUUGUGUUGACUGUUUGUGUUAGCCAUGAAGCGCAGUCUAGUGGGAGCAAGAGACGGAGAAGC